CAGAACUGAAGACUUCGGUGCAGAGCUGGAACAGGUAACGUGUUUGGAUUUGUGUCCCAGACACCCUCCACCCUGCCAUAUUUGGGCCUAUAAAUGUCUUCACCACCCGGAGUUCAGAGACUCCUAGAAUUGCAAGCUGGAAAUUACAUAUGGAAGCUGAGUCACCUGCCUCGCCCCUGGAGCCUGCUGCCUGUUUCCAAGGCCUUCCUCAUUAUUCAGACCACGACUCAUUCACAUGAAUACCAAAAGCAACACUUGAUGGCUGUGGAAGAUUUUCAUCCUCACGGGUCGUGAAAUGCAUCAGAAUAUUUUCCGUUUAUCACCUACGCUAAGGAUUUAUGACUGCCUAAGUGUUAUAUUUCUAGCCACUGUAUUCUGAGGCAAGCAACCUGCCGCAAGCCCUCAGAAGGAAUCCACCCUAUGGACCCCUUGAUCUUGGACUUCUAACCACUGGAACUGCCAGAAAAUGAAUUUAUGUUGUUGAAGCCACCAGUUUGUGGAACUUUGUUGCAGUAGCCAGAACAGACUAAUACAACUGCCAGACUGAAAGCAUCUAAUAACACGUAUUGGUCUGCAAAGAGUCAUGGAAGCUGUACCACCUAAAGGUGCAAUUUUAUUUUCAAAACACUGAUGAUUAGAGAUGUUUCUAUCUUGAUUUUUAUCCUGUUACUCAUAGACACUUCUCAUGAACACAUGUAGAUUUUUACAUAAUUCAUAAAGUCUUCCUCUACUCCCAAGUCCAUGUUUUGAGUUUCUAUACUCAGCCCUUGAAACUGUCUCCAAAGACUUAAGAAUCUUGGCAUCUCAGUUCUUAAAAUAUCACAUCCAUGAUUCCUUAUUAUACGCACCGCCUUUGGUCAAUGAAAAACAUAACUGUCCACCUUUCUGUGGCCCUUGAAGAGCUCCUUGCAUUUCUAAAAGUCUGUGCGUACCUAGGACUACGAGGGACAGGUCCAUGGUACCUCCACAGGCGGCUGGAUGUGGCCUCUUCGCCCCUGUGGUCCCAGUUGUUGGAAGGGGGCUGGGCCAUUCUGGGGACCCUAGUGAGAUGACAGGGCAGUGGGCCCCCCACCCUUCUUUGCUUACAAAUCACAUCUGCUUUCAGGGGAGCCAUGGAUUUCCUCCUGCUGGCCCACUUCCAAGUCUCAAAUUACAGCUGGGUUCUAAGUUUGGAUGUCUUUGCAUUUAACCCUCACAAUCUGACCCUGUAUACCUUUGAACUCUCAUUUCUUUCCCAAAUUAUUUUGAUGUUGAGCAAAUUCAAAAUUGAUAUUUAUGAAUUUGCAUUUCUAUAGUCAUAUGUAUUUACUAAGUUGGCAAUCUGUAGGCUAAUAUAUUUGUUCCUGUGAUCAGUCUGGUCUGCCAUGCUCUGUGACUCUGGGCUUUUUGGACCAGAGAUUUCGGUGGGAAAGCCAGCCGUAGGCGAUGCCUCAGUUACCUACAGGCAGCCAGGUCUCAUCAUGGCAGUCUGGCUCAGCGCGACCUCAAACAGAAUUACAAGUCAGCUAUCCUAAGAGCAUGGAAGAGCCAUUCAGACUUUUGUUUAAAUCUCCUGAAAGGCAUCAAAGUGGACAGGGCAAUGCACUGAGUGUCAUUUAUUAAUGCGCUCCAAAUACCUCACAACAGAGGAGUCCCUUCCCUUCUCCAUCUCUGCGCAGCUCAACAGAUGGACAAACAGACAAAGAGCAAGACCAGUCUGCCCGUCCCUCCCAGCAACUCACACCUGCAGAUCCCUCUCCUAGCCUCUUGCUCUCAGGCUGACAUUAUCAUCAUGUAGAGUGAUUAAGCCUUUUCUGGAUUUUUCCAGAUGCGUUUCCACUCUUAUUUCAACCAGGAGUCUUCAAACUUUUGACUGUUUAUCCCAUCCAUAGAAAUUGACAUCAAGCAGUAGAGAGAAUGAGAGAGAGGGAGAAAGUUUUAAACUAUUUAUGUACUAUUAUGCAUAUAUAUAUUGUGUCAA
This is a long non-coding RNA of Manis pentadactyla (Chinese pangolin), 1960 nucleotides long. RefSeq lists it as uncharacterized. Lineage: Eukaryota; Metazoa; Chordata; Mammalia; Pholidota; Manidae. The transcript is spliced from 3 exons. The record is from RefSeq and is a predicted model, not a curated record.